GCGGAGGUGAUGCAAUGGCAGACAUCGCUGGCCUAGAACCAGCGUCCUGCGGGUUCAAGUCCCGCUCUCCGUACCA
RNAcentral lists this transfer RNA (76 nucleotides) under Actinomycetota bacterium. RNAcentral describes it as "Actinobacteria bacterium tRNA-Leu". It matches the Rfam family "tRNA". Rfam says of the family: Transfer RNA (tRNA) molecules are approximately 80 nucleotides in length. Their secondary structure includes four short double-helical elements and three loops (D, anti-codon, and T loops). Further hydrogen bonds mediate the characteristic L-shaped molecular structure. tRNAs have two regions of fundamental functional importance: the anti-codon, which is responsible for specific mRNA codon recognition, and the 3' end, to which the tRNAs corresponding amino acid is attached (by aminoacyl-tRNA synthetases). tRNAs cope with the degeneracy of the genetic code in two manners: having more than one tRNA (with a specific anti-codon) for a particular amino acid; and 'wobble' base-pairing, i.e. permitting non-standard base-pairing at the 3rd anti-codon position. The record is from RNAcentral. Lineage: Bacteria; Bacillati; Actinomycetota.